This is an RNA transcript of Pipistrellus kuhlii (Kuhl's pipistrelle), 7817 nucleotides long. It is a transcript of the gene named CUGBP Elav-like family member 1, with no coding region annotated. Lineage: Eukaryota; Metazoa; Chordata; Mammalia; Chiroptera; Vespertilionidae. The transcript is spliced from 14 exons. The record is from RefSeq and is a predicted model, not a curated record.
GAAGCUAAAGCUGUGUGUAUUUGUGGAUCAGACAAGCGCAGCAAGUUAAUAUCAUUGGCUUCUGAAGGGGAGAGUGAGGUGAUGGCUGCGUUUAAGUUGGAUUUCCUUCCAGAAAUGAUGGUGGAUCAUUGCUCUUUGAAUUCCAGUCCCGUCUCAAAGAAAAUGAACGGCACCCUGGACCACCCAGACCAACCGGAUCUUGAUGCUAUCAAGAUGUUUGUGGGCCAGGUUCCGAGGACCUGGUCUGAGAAGGACUUGAGGGAACUCUUUGAACAGUAUGGUGCUGUCUAUGAAAUCAACGUUCUAAGAGAUAGGAGCCAAAACCCUCCUCAGAGCAAAGGGUGCUGUUUUGUUACGUUUUACACCCGCAAAGCUGCAUUAGAAGCACAGAAUGCUCUUCACAAUAUGAAGGUCCUCCCAGGGAUGCAUCAUCCUAUACAGAUGAAACCUGCCGAUAGUGAGAAGAGCAAUGCAGUGGAAGACAGGAAGCUGUUUAUUGGUAUGAUUUCCAAGAAGUGCACUGAAAAUGACAUCCGAGUCAUGUUCUCUUCAUUUGGACAGAUUGAAGAAUGUCGGAUAUUGCGGGGACCUGAUGGACUGAGCCGAGGUUGUGCAUUUGUGACUUUUACAACAAGAGCAAUGGCACAGACAGCUAUCAAGGCAAUGCACCAAGCACAGACCAUGGAGGGUUGCUCAUCCCCCAUGGUGGUAAAAUUUGCUGAUACACAGAAGGACAAAGAACAGAAGAGAAUGGCCCAGCAGCUCCAGCAGCAGAUGCAGCAAAUCAGCGCAGCAUCUGUGUGGGGAAACCUUGCUGGUCUCAAUACUCUUGGACCCCAGUAUUUAGCACUUUAUUUGCAGCUCCUUCAGCAGACUGCCUCCUCUGGGAACCUCAACACCCUGAGCAGCCUCCACCCAAUGGGAGGGUUAAAUGCAAUGCAGUUACAGAAUUUGGCUGCCCUAGCUGCUGCCGCUAGUGCUGCUCAGAGCACACCUAGUGGUACCAACGCUCUCACUACAUCCAGCAGUCCCCUCAGCGUACUCACCAGUUCAGGGUCUUCACCGAGCUCCAGCAGUAGCAACUCUGUCAACCCCAUCGCCUCCCUUGGAGCCUUGCAGACAUUAGCUGGAGCAACGGCAGGCCUCAAUGUCAGCUCAUUGGCAGGUGAGAGGCAGUCCAUGGAUGUCAUCAGGCCUUUCUUUGUGCAGGUAGCACAUUAUAAACAACCCUGGGAUGGCCGCUUUAAAUGGUGGCCUGGGCAGCAGUGGCCUUUCCAAUGGCACUGGGAGCACCAUGGAGGCCCUCACGCAGGCCUACUCGGGGAUCCAGCAGUAUGCCGCCGCGGCGCUCCCCACGCUGUACAACCAGAAUCUGUUGACACAGCAGAGUAUUGGUGCUGCUGGAAGCCAGAAGGAAGGUCCAGAGGGAGCCAACCUGUUCAUCUACCACCUGCCCCAGGAAUUUGGCGAUCAGGACCUGCUGCAGAUGUUCAUGCCCUUUGGGAAUGUUGUAUCUGCCAAGGUUUUUAUAGACAAGCAGACAAACCUGAGCAAGUGUUUUGGUUUUGUAAGUUACGACAAUCCUGUUUCGGCUCAAGCUGCCAUCCAGUCCAUGAACGGCUUUCAGAUUGGCAUGAAGCGGCUUAAAGUGCAGCUCAAACGUUCGAAGAAUGACAGCAAGCCCUACUGAGCGUGCUCCCCUCUGAGACUGGAGUGAGGGUCUUCUGGCACAGCUUGCCCUGAAGACUCGGCUACUGCCUUCUGUGGGAGUUUCGCUUCGUACAGAGGACAAGUUUGUGCUUUGGUUUCCAGUGUUUUACUUUGGAGUUUAGGUGCCAUAUCCUGAGUGUUUUUUUUUUUUCCUUUUUUUUUUUCCCCCCCCCCUUUAUUUAAAGUUUGCUGUGUUUGUAACCAGUGUAUGUUGAGAAGGACCAACAUCAAACCACCCUGGGGGAGGAGAGGGAAUGGAGAAACGUUACAGAAGAUCAGAACUUGUCCAAAACUACCCUGAGACAGGACUGAGUGAAACCAAAACUGACCCCCAGAAUGUCCCUGAGUUUGAGAGUGGAUGAAAUGAGAGCUGCCGUCCAAGAGCUGGGGGUGGGAGGGUGGAGCUGGUGGGGGUGGCUUUGAGGAGAGAGAGGGACUUGCUGUCCACGGCCCUGCGAGGUGUCGGCGGAACUCUCCUAUAGCUGCUGCUGUGGAAGCACAGGUUUUGUCCAAGAUCUCCGCCCCUCUUUCCCAAGAAGGGGCUAACAAUUCUCUGGAAAUAAAAUACCCGUUAAGUUAACCUGACAUAUGCGAAAAGCAGAGAGACAUCACCCAUUGCCAGCUGUUCCAGCCAGCCGUUGGUGUAGGGUGGGCCCUGCCAGGCUGGUGGCUGUUAAAAAGAAGCAGCCGGUCAGAGGUCAGUUUUAGUUUAUUAUAACAGAUCAUUAGACCAUGGCCCCUUUCUUAUGGAGUGUCUAGGGAGACACACUGGUUUCCUUCUUUGUAGUUGACCACAGCAAGGAGUGUCAUUUCAUCCCAAGCUACUGUUUUAUCACGAAGGCAGAACCAAGAAGGGCUGACAGUACCUGGCUGAGGGGGCACUUCUCCUGAGCAGAGUGAUCAAAAGCCAUCUAGUGGGGGGAGAGGAGCCUGCUUCUUGGUGCAUCUGCAUCAGAAGGUCCCUUCAAGCUAGAGUACUUCAUUUGCCAGAGGCCAGCCAACGCUUGGUACUUAAAAGGACUGAGAAAUCCAUGCUUGUCUCCUUGGUUGAGGUGUCCCAGAUGUAGUGUUUUCAUCAAGGCAGUCCCCUCUCCUAAGCACUCCAGCCCUGUCUUCUUCUCUUGGGGACAGAGGGGACAACAGGACGUUUACAGCCUCCAUAUGGAUUUAGUAUUUAUUUACCUCAGUAUUACCAUGUUCGUUUUUGUCCAUGUGCUUACCGUUAGCUCCCUGCUGCCUCCCACAGGUCUUAUUCCAGCUCUUGCCUGUGAUCUCCCCAGCCUCUGGGCUCUGCCUCUGCUCCAAGAAAUACUUGGGAGUGGAGAGCCAGGAAGGACAUGCUGUUGGGAAAUGCACUUGGACCCAGGUAGUCCUGACUUGUAAUCCAGGCCAGUGACUGGGUCCCUGCGAUCUUAAAUUCACAGACAUCAGUCCUGACCCCCAGCAGCAGAGAUGAGAUCAAAGGGGUUGGUUUGCUAAUAAGUUGAGUGGGGACUCUCUCCUUGUCAUGCUGUCCAUUUGGGUCACAGACAGGGAUUGGCCAUCUUGCUGUUGUACAGAUGUCUGGGUUAUCCCACUGAAGCUGGGACAGCUGUUCCCUUCUCAUAGUGAUAAUUGGGUCUGUUGUCCUCUAAGAAACGUGAAAACUUCUUAAGCUGAACCACGUAAACUUGAAUUCUGCGCACUGGGUGAAAUGUGUCCUGUGUUUCAAGGAUAAAACUGUUCCAAAGGCUUCCAGGGUCGUGAUGGGAUUUUUUAAAUAAAUGCAAAAAAUAAAAUAAAAAAGAAAAAAAAAAAUGCUAGGUUGGGGAGGCGCUGUUCUGAAUCCCAACCGGCCGGAAUUAAGAAUGUUGUUUCUAUUUUUAUAGAAGUUUUAUACAGCUCCGGGGUGGAGAAUAUUUAUUACCUAAAUUAUAUAUCUCUGGAAAAGGCCAGGAUUUUGUAGAAUCCAGAAUGUGAUUGUUAUACACACAGGGUGCUGUGUAUGAUUGAAACUACUGACUUUCUGUAGCCUGUUUGCAGCCCAGCUAAUCUGCCAGAGGGGGAAGGAGUUAAUGCUGUGAAUUGGCGGAGGAGAGAGCUGUGCUCUCCGGGGUGCUGUGGUGCUGUGAUCACUAACCUUCUGUUCUGUCUUCCUCCUUGGCCAUCGUGGGGUUUUCCAAAUCCCAGAAGUCCACUCCGUCCCCACUUUUUCUCCCCUCUCUCCCCCCCCAUUUCACCAUUAUUGUCCACAGAUUUGUCCUGGGCUCUUGAGACAGUUGGAAACCCCUUUCCAAAUGAAAGGCAAAGGUGUGAUCAGCCUGCCGUUGACACCACACCCUGAGGUUUCCGACCUGCUGUGGGUGUUCUUUUCUAAAAGGACCGCUUGCCCCAGCAGGGUCCUGGGCUGCCUCAGGGCCAGCGGGUGAGACUGGGCACUUCUGUCCGUUCUCUUCUCCUGCCAGUGAGUGAGCGCAGCAGCACUGCCCCCGAGCACAGUUUUCUCCCCGGGCCAGAGAUGGUUUUGUGAAGAAGCUGCUCCCCUAAAGUCUCCCGGGGUGAAAGGGUUCAGCUCAGAGAGGAGACUCGCAGUCAAGUCUUAAGCAGUCUUUUGCUGUUGUGUGGGGGAUUCACUUACAUAAAUGUGUCUAAUCAUGUAGUUUUGUUUCCUACUUGGGUUUCAUCAUGAAAUUGAUUUGCCUUGAAUACAUCCAGACACUGUUCCCUGGGUCCCUCAGGAGUGACCAGGGCCUGCGUGGAAGCUAAGAGCUUGGAUUUCUGGGAACAAAGGCCACCCUGUAGGAUUGAGGAGAAAUCCUGGCCCGCUCCCCUAAAGAAUUCUCCCACUCCAGGCUUCUUUCUCCCUGGGUCUUUCCCAGGGAGCUGGAGAGGCCGGGCUCCGCUCCACCGGAGAUCUGACGUGUUUGGAUGCUUCGGGGGAAAUCCAAGCCUUAGUUUCCCUUCUGUCUCUGGCAAUUGGAUGUUUUCUUGGUGUCCUCCAUGUCCUUUUGACUUUUCCCUGUGUCCAUUGUUAGCAUGUGCAAAAGUUCCCUGUCAUCGCCCAGCCCCCGCCCCGCCCGCCUCCUCAUUUCAGGGCUGUACACAGUGAGUGUUCCUGUUCUCUCUCUCUUUGUUUGGAUGUAUUGCUCUGUGUAACUCAGUGGGUCUCCCUCUUUCUGGUUUGUUUUUUUUUCUAGAUUCCUGCCGUUUGUUCAUCGUUGUGCCUAAAGCAUGUCGAUGUGGCGUCAAGUACAUCGUCCAAAUCCCUGUCUCUUCAGCUUCUCUGAUGCUUGAACUCUCACCUUUGACCUUGUGUUUGACCUUUGAUGCUGAUGUGUAUUUUUAUUAUGUUUGUUUCUUUUCUUUGUUUUUUCUUUUUUCUUUCCUUUUUUUCUUUUGUGCUGCCAAAUUGGUUUUGCUAGAACGACUGCUGAAGGGGAAAUAUUUAAACUUGCAUUUGAAUAUAAAAAAAAUCUAUUUUUCUAGAACUUCAUAAGAUAACCACUUGAUUUUGUGAUUCCAAUUCUUUGUAAUUGUCUUCAGAGCAGCCCUACUAGCACAUACCGCGUAGUGUUUGUAUUUCUGUGAACACACAGCCAGUCCGUUUCUAGGCUUUGUUUCUGUGUGCUUAGUUUUAAAGACAACUUUGAAGUAAACAAUGAAAUAAAAGAUGUCACUGAAACCUUUGAGGCUCCUGAGCACAUUUUGCUGAUACAGUUUGUGGGGCUUGAGGAGACCGCAUGUGUUUAUUUUUGUUUUCUAAGUUCUCACUGCAGAAAACACCCGAACCCCUUUCCUUUUUGACAGCGGGCUGCAGCCCCAGCGGCCCUGCUCCUUUGGGGCUCUGCCUGCAGCCGCCUGCAGGGAGCCUUCAGACCCCGGCCCUGCCCGGGCCGCUGCCCCUUCUAUGCUUGUUCCCACAGUCUCCACAGCAAAAUGUGAUGCUUUGAUUUUUUUUUUUUUUUUUUUUUUUUUUUUUGGUUUUUGUUUUUGUAUUGUUUUUGUGCUUUUGUUUGGAAUUUUUUCCUUUCCUACUAAGAUUAUGCCCAGAAAAAACAAGUUUUGCAUGUUUCCUGCUGUUUCUUCACACCUUCUUAUAUAUCACCUUCACCUCUCUGUUUUCUAUAGUUUGUGCAAAAACUGACCGAUUUAAAAGGGUUUCAAAGAAGCUGUUUUAAGUUGUUGUGGGGUUGAUUAUUUUUUUUCAAGAUUGUAUUGUUUUAUUUUGAAGUGGCAACUUUCUCCUCUAUUGCCCUUAGAGCGUUUGCCUGUGCACUUAGACUGUCACCUCAUGUGGCCUCCAGGCCUCAGCAGGGCCUCCAGGAGGCUGGCUGCUCUGCUCAGAGAUGGGUUAGGGGGCGCCUGAGAGGCACGGGAACAGAGGCAGGAUCCAGAAGGUGGCUGCGGGUGGGCAGGAGGCUUAGUGCAUUAGGGGUAGCGAGCAUCUCUCAGCCCAGAGGAAGGAGGGUGCUCUCGACCACUCAGAGGCGGCCAUCUGUGCACUAAGCGGCAGUACACCUGCCGGCGCUUUUCCUAGGUGACAAGCACAAUACUACAGUCUUCACACUGUUUACAGCCCUGGCCACCAGCCACCCCACACUGGCUCUUCACCGCAGCUCUGCUCUCAUUGGCUAGUGAGAUGGGGUAAGGGCAGGGGUCUGUUUUUUUUAAAUUGGGUGAAGAGCCAACUAGCUACUGUCCCUGGGUGCCAGGCAAACCAGCUCCUUGCCCUCCUCUCUGUGGCACCAUCAGCCUCAGGGUCUUAGGGGUUUGUGUAAGAAUGUGAAUGGCGGAGGAAGAGCCAGGGGAGAUGAGGGUCACAGGAUGAUCUGUGGAGGUAAGAGGUUGCAGAGAGAGGAGUUUGUGCUAGAUCCCACCCAGAGAAGAACUAAGCUGCUGGUGGGCGGGAGAGCUGGGCAGCAGGAGUGCUGGGAAGGGUGGAGAGGGUGGGGUAGCCGAGGGAUGGGGAGGGGGUGGGGAAGGUAGAAGCACUGUUAGCACCAUCCACGCUGGAGUUGGUGAAGGAAGGGACCCCAGCAGUUUCAGGUCUGGGACCCAGCGGGUUGCCUAGGAUUAUGCUUGAGGCCAUUCUUACUAGAAGGAAAGGGCGGCCACGUGGAGGCCAGUGUACGGCAGACUGCUUAACUUCCUGGAAGGGCGAGUGGAUGGAAGGAGGCCAGGAACCCAGCCUGAGCACUGCCGUGCCCCUACAGUCUGACUGCACAGAGCCGCCUCUGUUGGCAGAAGGCGCUGAGGCUCCCCUUCCUGUGUAUUCAGAUCCGUGUUUGCCAAUAUAUUUUGCUUUUAAUUCCAAGAGGAGCUCUGGGAAAACCUGUGGAUAAAACCAAAUGCCAAACGUUGGACGUUUCCUUUUCUUUUUCUCACUGAUUGUUUUAAUUGUUCUGUGGUGGUUUUAAUGGAUUUGAGACCCUGGAGCGGCAGCUGCCUUUCUGAUUUCCAGCUGCUUUUUGUGAAUAAUUUAAAAAGAAAAAAAAAAGAAUCUUUACAUUUUGGAGACAAACCUGUGUGAGUUUUUUAUUGGUACAAACGUUGUAUUUAACACUAGGGGUUUUGUACAGUUUUUUGCCUUUUCUACUAGAAAACAAUGUAAAGUGAUUUCACAAUGUGAAGAGAAAAAAUUGCCACUAUGACCAAACGCACAGUCUGUUCUGCAGCAACAACGGGAUUCAAUCAACUCAAAGUCGUGAUUCAGCCGUAGAAAUGCUUUUCCUUUACCUUGUUUGAGCUUUUCCUUUCUUCCCUGUUUUGAUUUGCAAAAGAAAAUGUCUUUUUUGUGUGAACUUGUGUUGUACUAUGUAGAAAAUUAUGGAUUUUACUUUAAUGGUUUAAAAAAAAAAAAAAAAAAAGGCAAGAAGAGCCCUUGUCGCUUUUCUGACCUGAUCACAGUUUGUGUAGUGGAUUAAAAAAGAAAAAAACAUUGUUAAAAGUUUGGAGCAAGGGAGUAUGUGUUUAAAAUGAAUCUCCUUUUUUUGUGUGUUUUUCCUUUUGUCCCAAUGGGGAACCUAAAUCUGUUUUAAUUGCACAGACACACGGACAAAAAGUCAUUUUGUAUCUGCCAAGUGUGGUACCUUCCUUUGUUUAUUUGCUAUUAAACUGUUUGAGAAGAA